GCCAGCUUAGCUCAGAGGGUAGAGCAUCGCACUUGUAAUGCGAGGGUCGUCGGUUCGAUUCCGAUAGCUGGCU
Molecule: transfer RNA, 73 nt
Filed under: Pelargonium cotyledonis
Lineage: Eukaryota; Viridiplantae; Streptophyta; Magnoliopsida; Geraniales; Geraniaceae
Also listed under: 3 other names
Description: tRNA-Thr
Rfam family: tRNA
About the family: Transfer RNA (tRNA) molecules are approximately 80 nucleotides in length.
Source: RNAcentral